RNAcentral lists this transfer RNA (74 nucleotides) under Candidatus Amesbacteria bacterium RIFCSPHIGHO2_01_FULL_48_32b. RNAcentral's name for it is "tRNA-Ala". It matches the Rfam family "tRNA". From Rfam's summary of the family: Transfer RNA (tRNA) molecules are approximately 80 nucleotides in length. Their secondary structure includes four short double-helical elements and three loops (D, anti-codon, and T loops). Further hydrogen bonds mediate the characteristic L-shaped molecular structure. tRNAs have two regions of fundamental functional importance: the anti-codon, which is responsible for specific mRNA codon recognition, and the 3' end, to which the tRNAs corresponding amino acid is attached (by aminoacyl-tRNA synthetases). tRNAs cope with the degeneracy of the genetic code in two manners: having more than one tRNA (with a specific anti-codon) for a particular amino acid; and 'wobble' base-pairing, i.e. permitting non-standard base-pairing at the 3rd anti-codon position. RNAcentral also lists the same sequence under 1 other name. Lineage: Bacteria; Candidatus Amesiibacteriota. The record is from RNAcentral.
GGGCCCGUAGUUCACCGGUAGAAUAACUCCAUGGCAUGGAGUAGAAAGGGGUUCAAUUCCCCUCGGGUCCACAA